Molecule: ribosomal RNA, 497 nt
Filed under: uncultured bacterium
Lineage: Bacteria
Description: partial 16S ribosomal RNA
Rfam family: Bacterial small subunit ribosomal RNA
Source: RNAcentral
GAUGAACGCUGGCGGCGUGCCUAAUACAUGCAAGUCGAGCGAACGGACGAGAAGCUUGCUUCUCUGAUGUUAGCGGCGGACGGGUGAGUAACACGUGGAUAACCUACCUAUAAGACUGGGAUAACUUCGGGAAACCGGAGCUAAUACCGGAUAAUAUUAUGAACCGCAUGGUUCAAAAGUGAAAGACGGUCUUGCUGUCACUUAUAGAUGGAUCCGCGCUGCAUUAGCUAGUUGGUAAGGUAACUGCUUACCAAGGCAACGAUGCAUAGCCGACCUGAGAGGGUGAUCGGCCACACUGGAACUGAGACACGGUCCAGACUCCUACGGGAGGCAGCAGUAGGGAAUCUUCCGCAAUGGGCGAAAGCCUGACGGAGCAACGCCGCGUGAGUGAUGAAGGUCUUCGGAUCGUAAAACUCUGUUAUUAGGGAAGAACAUAUGUGUAAGUAACUGUGCACAUCUUGACGGUACCUAAUCAGAAAGCCACGGCUAACUACGUG